UACGGGGGGGGCAAGCGUUGUUCGGAAUUACUGGGCGUAAAGGGCUCGUAGGCGGCCAACUAAGUCAGACGUGAAAUCCCUCGGCUUAACCGGGGAACUGCGUCUGAUACUGGAUGGCUUGAAUCCGGGAGAGGGAUGCGGAAUUCCAGGUGUAGCGGUGAAAUGCGUAGAUAUCUGGAGGAACACCGGUGGCGAAGGCGGCCAUCUGGACCGGUUCUGACGCUGAGGCGCGAAAGCGUGGGGAGCAAACAGG
RNAcentral lists this ribosomal RNA (253 nucleotides) under uncultured bacterium. Its description in RNAcentral is "partial 16S ribosomal RNA". It matches the Rfam family "Bacterial small subunit ribosomal RNA", at positions 524 to 776 of the family's 1533-position model. The record is from RNAcentral.